This is a long non-coding RNA of Sapajus apella (tufted capuchin), 122 nucleotides long. RefSeq lists it as uncharacterized. Lineage: Eukaryota; Metazoa; Chordata; Mammalia; Primates; Cebidae. The record is from RefSeq and is a predicted model, not a curated record. The transcript has 3 exons.
GAGCUGACAAUGAUACCUUCCUUCUCGGUCUCCAUGCCACUGACUCUCCAACAUGGCUGUGCACAGGACACCAUUAAGAACACAGCAUCAGCACUUUGGGAGGCCAAGGCGGGUGGAUCACG